RNAcentral lists this ribosomal RNA (281 nucleotides) under uncultured Staphylococcus sp. Its description in RNAcentral is "partial 16S ribosomal RNA". It matches the Rfam family "Bacterial small subunit ribosomal RNA", at positions 81 to 356 of the family's 1533-position model. Lineage: Bacteria; Bacillati; Bacillota; Bacilli; Caryophanales; Staphylococcaceae. The record is from RNAcentral.
CUCCUUUGACGUUAGCGGCGGACGGGUGAGUAACACGUGGGUAACCUACCUAUAAGACUGGGAUAACUUCGGGAAACCGGAGCUAAUACCGGAUAAUAUUUCGAACCGCAUGGUUCGAUAGUGAAAGGUGGUUUUGCUAUCACUUAUAGAUGGACCCGCGCCGUAUUAGCUAGUUGGUAAGGUAACGGCUUACCAAGGCGACGAUACGUAGCCGACCUGAGAGGGUGAUCGGCCACACUGGAACUGAGACACGGUCCAGACUCCUACGGGAGGCAGCAGUG